AUGUCACCUGUUAGAUAGGACUAGUAUACUUGGGGAUCACCCGCUAGUACAGAACUGAUCUCAGUGUUCACAUGCUAGAUCAGGACAAACUCCAUAGCAGUUGUCUUUACCCGUGGCAAGGUAUUGACACCCUUCUAGCUGGGGUUAUAGGUUGAACCCCACUAGUUCAAAUUUUGGGUAUGUCAGUUAGAUAACUUCCUCCCACAGUCUCAGCUUUAGAAUCAGUCUAAGUAAAAGAACUCAGCUCAGUAACACAGAUUCAGGACUGUUAGUUACAUUCACUCAUUAGUAUUAUCAAAGGACUUAGAGAUCACCCCCUUGAU
This 323-nucleotide long non-coding RNA is filed under the name Capsicum annuum. Its description in RNAcentral is "long non-coding RNA (CANN_LNC008343)". The record is from RNAcentral. Lineage: Eukaryota; Viridiplantae; Streptophyta; Magnoliopsida; Solanales; Solanaceae.